AGACGAGGAGGAGGCUGAAUACAGCGCUGUUCGAUUUGACAGUGCAACAGGAACAAGACGUGAAGAAGAGGGGGACGAUUCAUCUGCAGUGUACAGCACAGUCACCAAACACUGAAGAAACACAACAUGAAUCUAUUGUUUAUAUGUGGAUUUUACAGCCUCACGGAGCCAGAAGAAAUAAAACAUAUUGACAUGUGCA
This is a long non-coding RNA of Hippoglossus stenolepis (Pacific halibut), 199 nucleotides long. RefSeq lists it as uncharacterized. NCBI's taxonomy places the organism in Eukaryota, Metazoa, Chordata, Actinopteri, Pleuronectiformes, Pleuronectidae. The transcript has 2 exons. The record is from RefSeq and is a predicted model, not a curated record.